Long non-coding RNA from Daphnia pulicaria, 1285 nucleotides. RefSeq lists it as uncharacterized. NCBI's taxonomy places the organism in Eukaryota, Metazoa, Arthropoda, Branchiopoda, Diplostraca, Daphniidae. The transcript is spliced from 8 exons. The record is from RefSeq and is a predicted model, not a curated record.
CGUUUCGAUGCAGUAUGAGAUGAACAUUUUUUAAAUGUUUGUUUUAGCAGAUUAAUUAUUGUCAGCCUUCAUAGUUCGUUUUCUUGUAGAUUAUGUGAAAGUCGUGCUGGUAUUGCGACCAUAUCUAAAGGGAUUGUGGCCCACUUAAAGCGUGGUUAAAGUGAGUACUAUAACUGAACCCAGAGAAAAGAAGAAGAAGCGAAAUUUCUGUGUGAAAGGAGAAUUUAAUGAUCCAGGUUGUUCUUCUAUUAGCAGUUGUAAACAAAGUCACGAUCAGAAUUAUUGAAAAUAUUCUGCCCAAGGAAUGACGCCUUAAACGAUGAAAUUGCGGAGGCGAUCUUCAACAGUAUUGCGUAACAAUAUUGCCAUCAAACGACAAGCGAUAGGUUCCGGCGGUCAUCAACUAUUCAAGAUGGUAGACAUGUCAAUGUAAAAGACAGGAUUUUCAUUUCCGACCGCACGUGCAAGGAUUAUGUGUUUGAAACUUAGAUAAGUUUGCAGUAGAAUAUUAGGAAAAAAAACCGACUGUCCUUCAAACGGUUCGAAUGGAAGAUUUAUUCAUUCACCGAAGAAACGAGUCAAAUGACUCAAAUGUCAAAUGUGGUAUUUUUUAAACCCAUCCCCAGCAACGUCAACCUGCAGAAAGAAAAAGGCCAGUUUCUAUGGCGUUGACGCUCGAAGGUCACGGAGAUCAUUACGUAAAACGUGUCUUGCAGUGGUGUAGAGGUUGGGUGAGAACGACACGUGUUGCUUUAUUAUCAAAAAGGUCCAAUAGCCGCUAGGCUUAGGAGAAGAGGGUGAGAAAAAAAUCGUAUAAAGGAGAGAGAAAAGGUUGUUGAAACCAGUCGAGUGAGAAUCUCCGACCUGGCAACAACUUCAUUCUUCGUCGUAAUAUCAGUUCGCAAUCAUGGUUAAUUAUGGCGUUGUGUUGCUGCCGGGUGUUGCAUCGUUGAUGUCGACUGCGAGAGAAAUUUGUAUAAAAGGAAAGAGAAUAGGCGACAGAAGUCAAUCAAGUGAGCAUCUCCGACCCGUCAAAAACCGCAUUCUUCGUCGUAUUAACAGGUUGCAACUACGGCUAUUGGUUGUUUCGUCGAUUUCUGGGUCGACCACUGGUGUGCUGAUGCCCCUGGGUAUGGCGGAUACCAAACCGCAACGCCGCCGCCUUACUACACAACAACAUACGCAACGACAAGUUACUACACCGAGUUUGCACAGUUAGGUUUACAGUUACACCACCAAGGGUCCAGGUACACCACAACUUUUGCUGCUCCGAGCUACUACACCG